This 84-nucleotide transfer RNA is filed under the name Heterodermia speciosa. It matches the Rfam family "tRNA". From Rfam's summary of the family: Transfer RNA (tRNA) molecules are approximately 80 nucleotides in length. Their secondary structure includes four short double-helical elements and three loops (D, anti-codon, and T loops). The record is from Rfam by way of RNAcentral. Lineage: Eukaryota; Fungi; Ascomycota; Lecanoromycetes; Caliciales; Physciaceae.
GCCCUAAUGGCUCAAUGGUAGAGCGCGUCACUAGUAAGCAUUGGUGAAAUGACGAGGUUCUUGGUUCGAUUCCAAGUUAGGGCA